Molecule: ribosomal RNA, 351 nt
Filed under: Triticum aestivum (bread wheat)
Lineage: Eukaryota; Viridiplantae; Streptophyta; Magnoliopsida; Poales; Poaceae
Description: partial small subunit ribosomal RNA
Source: RNAcentral
AUGGCGAUUCAAUGGGAACUGCUUCCAGCGCUGCGUCAGGAUAGCACACAUUCAGUUGCUGCCGUCAGGAUUGCUACCAAAGAAUUUAUCAGCACUGCAGUGUGCUCAAGGAUUCGUGAUGCAGUGCUGCAUUUUGCCAUCAACCACAAGCCACCUGGAGAGACUCUGUCACAUGAACACCUUCAGAGAUGCUCCCAUCUUGUGCUCCAGAUUUUCAACAAUGGCUCCACCUCUCUGUACUCUGAAUUCAUGGGCAUGCUCCUAGCUGCAAAGCAAGAGCAGUCAAAAACGACUGUCCAUAAAUCAACCACGCCUGCAGCAACACUUGUUGUCCACUUGUCCCUCUCAUGA